UGGGGAAUAUUGCACAAUGGGGGAAACCCUGAUGCAGCCAUGCCGCGUGUGUGAAGAAGGCCUUCGGGUUGUAAAGCACUUUCAGCGAGGAGGAAAGGUGGCUAGCUAAUACCUAGUUGCUGUGACGUUACUCGCAGAAGAAGCACCGGCUAACUCCGUGCCAGCAGCCGCGGUAAUACGGAGGGUGCAAGCGUUAAUCGGAAUUACUGGGCGUAAAGCGCACGCAGGCGGUCAGAUAAGUCAGAUGUGAAAGCCCCGGGCUCAACCUGGGAACUGCAUUUGAAACUGUCUGACUAGAGUGUUGUAGAGGGGGGUAGAAUUCCAGGUGUAGCGGUGAAAUGCGUAGAGAUCUGGAGGAAUACCGGUGGCGAAGGCGGCCCCCUGGACAAAGACUGACGCUCAGGUGCGAAAGCGUGGGGAGCAAACA
Molecule: ribosomal RNA, 427 nt
Filed under: uncultured prokaryote
Description: bacterial SSU rRNA
Rfam family: Bacterial small subunit ribosomal RNA
Source: RNAcentral